CCUACGGGAGGCAGCAGUAGGGAAUUUUCGGCAAUGGGGGGAACCCUGACCGAGCAACGCCGCGUGAACGAAGAAGUUAUUCGUAAUGUAAAGUUCUUUUAACAGGGAAGAAAGAGAAAUUUGACGGUACCUGAAGAAUAAGCUCCGGCUAACUACGUGCCAGCAGCCGCGGUAAUACGUAGGGCGCGAGCGUUAUCCGGAAUUAUUGGGCGUAAAGGGUGCGUAGAUGGCAUAGUAAGUCUUUUGUAAAAAUGCUGGGUUCAACCCAGUAGGGCAAAAGAUACUGCAAAGAUAGAGUAUGACAGAGGCGAGGGGACUGAAAUGUGUAGCGGUAAAAUGCGUAAAUAUAUGAAAGAACACCAGGGGCGAAGGCGGCUUUCUGGUUCGAUACUGACAUUGAGGCACGAAAGCGUGGGGAGAAAACAGGAUUAGAUACCCGAGUAGUC
RNAcentral lists this ribosomal RNA (446 nucleotides) under uncultured bacterium. RNAcentral's name for it is "partial 16S ribosomal RNA". It matches the Rfam family "Bacterial small subunit ribosomal RNA", at positions 338 to 795 of the family's 1533-position model. The record is from RNAcentral.